RNAcentral lists this ribosomal RNA (319 nucleotides) under uncultured bacterium. RNAcentral describes it as "bacterial SSU rRNA". It matches the Rfam family "Bacterial small subunit ribosomal RNA", at positions 28 to 334 of the family's 1533-position model. The record is from RNAcentral.
GAUGAACGCUAGCUACAGGCUUAACACAUGCAAGUCGAGGGGCAGCAUGGUCUUAGCUUGCUAAGGCCGAUGGCGACCGGCGCACGGGUGAGUAACACGUAUCCAACCUGCCGUCUACUCUUGGACAGCCUUCUGAAAGGAAGAUUAAUACAAGAUGGCAUCAUGAGUCCGCAUCGUUCACAAUGAUUUAAAGAUAUUCCGGUAGACGAUGGGGAUGCGUUCCAUUAGAUAGUAGGCGGGGUAACGGCCCACCUAGUCUUCGAUGGAUACGGGGUUCUGAGAGGAAGGUCCCCCACAUUGGAACUGAGACACGGUCCAA